RNAcentral lists this transfer RNA (90 nucleotides) under Cellvibrionales bacterium. RNAcentral's name for it is "tRNA-Ser". It matches the Rfam family "tRNA". Rfam says of the family: Transfer RNA (tRNA) molecules are approximately 80 nucleotides in length. Their secondary structure includes four short double-helical elements and three loops (D, anti-codon, and T loops). The record is from RNAcentral. Lineage: Bacteria; Pseudomonadati; Pseudomonadota; Gammaproteobacteria; Cellvibrionales.
GGAGAGAUGGCUGAGUGGUCGAAAGCACCGGUCUUGAAAACCGGCAAGGAUUAACGUCCUUCUAGGGUUCAAAUCCCUAUCUCUCCGCCA